This 108-nucleotide small nuclear RNA is filed under the name Castor canadensis (American beaver). Lineage: Eukaryota; Metazoa; Chordata; Mammalia; Rodentia; Castoridae. The record is from RNAcentral.
GUGCUCGCUUCGGCAGCACAUAUACUAAAAUUGGAACGAUACAGAGAAGAUUAGCAUGGCCCCUGCGCAAGGAUAACUCCGAUAGAAUUUUGAGAAUACUGUGUUCUU